Molecule: ribosomal RNA, 241 nt
Filed under: Listeria monocytogenes
Lineage: Bacteria; Bacillati; Bacillota; Bacilli; Caryophanales; Listeriaceae
Description: partial 23S ribosomal RNA
Rfam family: Bacterial large subunit ribosomal RNA
Source: RNAcentral
GGGCUAAACAUAUUACCGAAACUGUGGAUGAACCUCUUUAGAGGUUCGAGGAAGGAGAGCGUACUAAGGGCGGUGAUGUCAGACCGGAAGGACUGGUGGAGCGCUUAGAAGAGAGAAUGCCGGUAUGAGUAGCGAAAGAAGGGAGAGAAUCCCUUCCACCGAAUAUCUAAGGUAUCCUGAGGAAGGCUCGACCGCUCAGGGUUAGUCGGGACCAAAGCCGAGGCCGAUAGGCGUAGGCGAU